This 1044-nucleotide ribosomal RNA is filed under the name 'Quercus humboldtii' aster yellows phytoplasma. RNAcentral describes it as "bacterial SSU rRNA". It matches the Rfam family "Bacterial small subunit ribosomal RNA", at positions 233 to 1285 of the family's 1533-position model. The record is from RNAcentral. Lineage: Bacteria; Bacillati; Mycoplasmatota; Mollicutes; Acholeplasmatales; Acholeplasmataceae.
GCGUCACAUUAGUUAGUUGGUGGGGUAAAGGCCUACCAAGACUAUGAUGUGUAGCCGGGCUGAGAGGUUGAACGGCCACAUUGGGACUGAGACACGGCCCAAACUCCUACGGGAGGCAGCAGUAGGGAAUUUUCGGCAAUGGAGGAAACUCUGACCGAGCAACGCCGCGUGAACGAUGAAGUAUUUCGGUACGUAAAGUUCUUUUAUUAGGGAAGAAUAAAUGAUGGAAAAAUCAUUCUGACGGUACCUAAUGAAUAAGCCCCGGCUAACUAUGUGCCAGCAGCCGCGGUAAUACAUAGGGGGCAAGCGUUAUCCGGAAUUAUUGGGCGUAAAGGGUGCGUAGGCGGUUAAAUAAGUUUAUGGUCUAAGUGCAAUGCUCAACAUUGUGAUGCUAUAAAAACUGUUUAGCUAGAGUAAGAUAGAGGCAAGUGGAAUUCCAUGUGUAGUGGUAAAAUGCGUAAAUAUAUGGAGGAACACCAGUAGCGAAGGCGGCUUGCUGGGUCUUUACUGACGCUGAGGCACGAAAGCGUGGGGAGCAAACAGGAUUAGAUACCCUGGUAGUCCACGCCGUAAACGAUGAGUACUAAACGUUGGGUAAAACCAGUGUUGAAGUUAACACAUUAAGUACUCCGCCUGAGUAGUACGUACGCAAGUAUGAAACUUAAAGGAAUUGACGGGACUCCGCACAAGCGGUGGAUCAUGUUGUUUAAUUCGAAGGUACCCGAAAAACCUCACCAGGUCUUGACAUGCUUCUGCAAAGCUGUAGAAACACAGUGGAGGUUAUCAGUUGCACAGGUGGUGCAUGGUUGUCGUCAGCUCGUGUCGUGAGAUGUUGGGUUAAGUCCCGCAACGAGCGCAACCCUUAUUGUUAGUUACCAGCACGUAAUGGUGGGGACUUUAGCAAGACUGCCAGUGAUGAAUUGGAGGAAGGUGGGGACGACGUCAAAUCAUCAUGCCCCUUAUGACCUGGGCUACAAACGUGAUACAAUGGCUGUUACAAAGGGUAGCUGAAGCGCAAGUUUUUGGCGAAUCUCAAAAAAACAG